UCAUGAUCAUCAUCAUGAUCAUGAUCAUCAUCAUGAUCAUGAUCAUCAUCAUGAUCAUGAUCAUCAUCAUCAUCAUCAUCAUCA
This 84-nucleotide microRNA precursor is filed under the name Guillardia theta CCMP2712. RNAcentral describes it as "microRNA mir-598". Lineage: Eukaryota; Cryptophyceae; Pyrenomonadales; Geminigeraceae. The record is from RNAcentral.